Cicer arietinum (chickpea) is the source of this 338-nucleotide long non-coding RNA. RefSeq lists it as uncharacterized. The record is from RefSeq and is a predicted model, not a curated record. NCBI's taxonomy places the organism in Eukaryota, Viridiplantae, Streptophyta, Magnoliopsida, Fabales, Fabaceae.
AUGUGUUGCUUGUUCAUUCAUAAUUUGAAAGAUACAAUGGCUUCUUGCGUUGACUUUGUCUAUUUUUUCCUUGCAUUGUUGUUAUGCAUUACAUCCAUUUUCACUCCAGGAGGAGCAAUUGAUGGUCCCUAUCCAAAUUUGCGCUUUACUUUUUCCACUGACAAACUAUGUUCAAGUUCAACUAAUAAUAAUUAUUGUUAUAAUUAUUGUUUAAAAGUUCUGAAGUUUCGAAAUGGUGGCGCGUGCCUCGAAAAUUAUUGUCGUUGUGCUAGUUAGACAUCAAAUGUACAUCUCCAUUAAUAAAAAAAAAUUUAUAGAUACGUUCUAACAGCAUUAAA